This 628-nucleotide ribosomal RNA is filed under the name uncultured fungus. RNAcentral's name for it is "eukaryotic LSU rRNA". The stretch from base 263 to 416 matches the Rfam family "5.8S ribosomal RNA". Lineage: Eukaryota; Fungi. The record is from RNAcentral.
CUUGGUCAUUUAGAGGAAGUAAAAGUCGUAACAAGGUUUCCGUAGGUGAACCUGCGGAAGGAUCAUUACCAAUUCAACGGUGUGGUCGCGGCCUCCGGGGGCUCCCCCCGGGCGGUAGAGGUAACACUCUUACGCGCCACAUGUCUGAAUCCUUUUUUUACGAGCACCUUUCGUCCUCCUUCGGUGGGGCAACCUGCCGUUGGAACUUAUCAAAACCUUUUUUGCAUCUAGCAUUACCUGUUCAGAUACAAACAAUCGUUACAACUUUCAACAAUGGAUCUCUUGGCUCUGGCAUCGAUGAAGAACGCGGCGAAAUGCGAUAAGUAGUGUGAAUUGCAGAAUUCAGUGAAUCAUCGAAUCUUUGAACGCACAUUGCGCCCCUUGGUAUUCCAUGGGGCAUGCCUGUUCGAGCGUCAUCUACACCCUCAAGCUCUGCUUGGUGUUGGGCGUCUGUCCCGCCUCUGCGCGUGGACUCGCCCCAAAUUCAUUGGCAGCGGUCUUUGCCUCCUCUCGCGCAGCACAUUGCGCUUUAGAGGGGUGUGGGCCGCGUCCACGAAGCAACAUUAUCGUCUUUGACCUCGGAUCAGGCAGGGAUACCCGCUGAACUUAAGCAUAUCAAUAAGCGGAG